Molecule: ribosomal RNA, 299 nt
Filed under: uncultured bacterium
Lineage: Bacteria
Description: partial 16S ribosomal RNA
Rfam family: Bacterial small subunit ribosomal RNA
Source: RNAcentral
CUAUGCGCCUUGCCAGCCCGCUCAGGUGUGCCCAGCCGCCGCGGUAAUACGUAGGGGCAAGCGUUAUCCAGAUUUACUGGGUGUAAAGGGAGCGCAGACGGCGCGGCAAGUCCGGAGUGAAAGCCCGGGGCCCAACCCCGGGACUGCUCUGGAAACUGCGGCGCUCGAGUGCCGGAGGGGCAGGCGGAAUUCCUAGUGUAGCGGUGAAAUGCGUAGAUAUUAGGAGGAACACCAGUGGCGAAGGCGGCCUGCUGGACGGCGACUGACGUUGAGGCUCGAAAGCGUGGGGAGCAAACAGG